GCCGCCGUAGCUCAGUUGGUAGAGCGCAUCCAUGGUAAGGAUGAGGUCCCCGGUUCAAUCCCGGGCGGCGGCUCAA
This is a transfer RNA of 76 nucleotides. It matches the Rfam family "tRNA". Rfam says of the family: Transfer RNA (tRNA) molecules are approximately 80 nucleotides in length. Their secondary structure includes four short double-helical elements and three loops (D, anti-codon, and T loops).